Molecule: long non-coding RNA, 3006 nt
Filed under: Mytilus galloprovincialis (Mediterranean mussel)
Lineage: Eukaryota; Metazoa; Mollusca; Bivalvia; Mytilida; Mytilidae
Source: RNAcentral
UUUGUUUAAAAUAAUACAGUCUUUGAAGUUCAUUAUAAAAUUUGUUAUUUUAACUUUGUAAAUAUCAAUCAUAGGUCAUCCUCCUCCAAUAGAGAACUAGAUAUAAAUCAAUUAACUAUGGAGAUAUUGUUAACGGUCAUGUACCAUUAGAAAAGUAUAUAAACAUUUCCAAAUAGCAAUGUGCACUUUCAGCAGAAGCUGAUAAGAUCACAGUGAAAGCAAUAAAAUAGAUAUCCUUCACAUAACAGUCAAUAUUUGUUUAACAGGAUGAGUAUCUACAAAGUUCUUGAUCAAGAUGGAGGGAGAUUGUGUUGGUUACUUGCCAAUCUUAAAUUAAUUAACUUUUGUGUUUUAAACACUCUAUUGUUAUAGAUAAUAUAUUAUAUAAUUAGCAUUAUAAGAGUAAUGUUGAAUUUGAAGGUCACAAAUAUAGCUUUAUUUUAUAGAUAUUUAUUUAUACUUUAAGUUGUUAAAAGUAAAUAUUAUUUUAUUUACGUAAAUCUUGCCUUUUUUGUUGAAUGGAAAAAUUAUACUGUAAAUUCAGAUAUUGCGAUUUGUCAUUUUAGACUUAAAUGCGAUUUUAAUUUUUAGCUCACCUGACCUUAAAGGUCAAGUGAGCUUUUCUCAUCACUUGGCGUCCGUCGUCCGUAAACUUUAACAAAAAUCUUCUCCUCUGAAACUACUGGGCCAAAUUUAACCAAGAUUGGCCACAAUCAUCCUUGGGGUAUUCAGUUUAAAAAAUGUGUCCAAUGACCUGGCCAUCAAACCAAGAUGGUCACCAUGGCUAAAAAUAGAACACAGGUGUAAAAUGCAGUUUUUGGCUUAUAAUUCAAAAACCAAAGCAUUUAGAGCGAAUCUGACAUGGGGUAAAAUUGAUUAUCAGGUCAAGAUCUAUCUGUCCUGAAAUUUUUAGAUGAAUCGGACAACUGGUUGUUGGGUUGCUGCCCCUGAAUUGGUCAUUUUAAGGAAAUUUUGCUGUUUUUGGUUAUUAUCUUGAAUAUUAUUAUAGAUAGAGAUAAACUGUAAGCAGCAAUAAUGUUCAGCAAAGUAAGAUCUACAAAUAAGUCACAUGAUCGAAAUGGUCAGUUGACCCCUUUAGGAGUUAUUAUCCUUUAUAGUCAAUUUUUAACCAUUUUUCGUAAAUCUUAGUAAUCUUUUACAAAAAUCUUCUCUGAAACUACUUGGCCAAAUUUAACCAAACUUGGCAACAAUCAUCUUUGGGGUAUCUAGUUUAAAAAAUGUGUGACGUGACCUGACCAGCCAACCAAGAUGGCCGCCAUGGCUAAAAAUAGAACAUAGGGGUAAAAUGCAGGUUUUGGCUUAUAACUCAAAAACCAAAGCAUUUAGAGCAAAUCUGACGGGGUUUAAUUGUUUAUUAGGUCACAAUCUAUCUGCCCUGGAAUUUUCAGAUGGAUCGGACAACUGGUUGUUGGGUUGCUGCCCCUGAAUUGGUAAUUUUAAGGAAAUUUUGCCGUUUUUGGUUAUUAUCUUGAAUACUAUUAUAGAUAGAGAUAAACUGUAAACAGCAAUAAUGUUCAGCAAAAUAAGACCUACAAAUAAGUCAAACAUGACCAAAAUUGUCAGUCAACCCCUUAAGGAGUUAUUGCCCUUUAUAGUCAAUUUUAACAACUUUUUCGUCAUUUUUUGUAACUUGUACAAAAAUCUUCUUCUCUGAAACUUCUGUGCCAAAUUUAAAUUAACUUGGCCACAACCAUAAUUGUGGUAUUUAGUUUAAAAAAUGUGUCCGACGACCCCACCUACCAAACAAAAUGGACGGCAUGGCUAAAAUUAGAACAUAGUGGUAAAAUGCAGUUUUUGCUAUAUAUCUUUGAAACUAAGACAUUUAGGGCAAAUCUUUCAAGAUUUAAAUGUCCAUCAGAAUAAGAUCUAUCCCCUCACAAAUUUUCAGAUGAAUCCUACAACCCGUUGUUGGGCUGCUGGUAAUUUUAAGGAAAUUUUGCAGUUAUCUUGAAUACUGUUAUAGAUAGAGAUAAACUGUAUACAGCAAUAAUGUUCAGCAAAGUAAGAUCUACAAAUAAGUCAACAUGCCCAAAAUUGUCAGAGAACCCCUUAAGGAGUAAUUAUCCUUUAUAGUCAAUAUUGAACAACUUUUCGUCAUUUUUGUAACUUGUACAAAAAUCUUCUUUUCUAAAACUAUGGGCCAAAUUUAACCAAACUUGGCGACAAUCAUUACUAGGGUAUCUAUUUUAAAAAAGUGUCUAAUGACCCCGCCUACCAACCAAGAUGGCAGACAUCAGUAAAUACAGUAACAGGUGAGCGACACAGGCUCUUGAGAGCCUCUAGUUAAGAUUUAGAGGAAAAUUCUGUUUAAUUCAUAUUAAAAAAUUUAAAAAACAAGUUUAAAUUAUGUUGUUUAAAUUCUGUCGCAUUUUUCCCAAUAAUAGAAACCUGGCAAUAUUUUUUGAAUUAACAGUACUUGGAGAUCUUGUCUUUAAAUGAACUUGAAGUUACACUGGACAUGCUGCAUAGAUUACAUGAUUGCAUAUUAACCUUUUCUGAGGGAUGACUUGGAUAUCAAAUUACAUUAUCUGAAAAAGUUGAUAUACCGUAUAUAGAUUUUACCAAUUUACCCAUAUUGAUUACAAUAUUAAUCUUCUUUUAAAACAAACCUUGUAUGUAAAAGUUUAUAUAUUUAAUGUAUAAAAAUGGUCGGAACUACUUCAAAUGCGUAGUGUCAUGAAAAAUCAUGAAAAAAAUAAUUUAGACUAAAAUUAAAGAUAUACAAGUCAAAUGGUUGGUUAUUUAAUUGAUAAUAAGUCAGCAGACAUUCUGGGAAGGGAACACAGGCUUUGACGUAAAUUAGUACCUAGAUUCCUUGGCACUUGAUAUAAAAAUUAUAAAUGGGGGAUGAAUUUUAGUCAUUGUGAAAUCCAGCAAAGUUUUUACUAUGUGUUGUAUAUGUUUUUUGUGAAUUUUUAAUGAAAAUAUUGCUGUAGAUCAUUCCAUUAUGUAUGCUGUUUACUUAUACAUGUAUCAUAUAUUUUU